GGGGAGGUGCCCAGCCCUGGAGGAAGGGUCAACAGGGUGGGUCCCUCGCAAGGCAUCCUGGGAGUCAUAGUCCUUAAACGGUUUCCAGCACGUUGAUCGGAAGGCUACCGAACUACAAUCCCAGCAUGCACCGGGAUUGGGGCGGUGUGUAACCCUGGAGGGAAGGAUAGAGAGGCUCGUCCCUGGCCAGGGAUGCUGGGAGUUAUGGUCUCUUAACGGUUUCCAGCGAUGGCCCCCGGCCUGCAGACUACAAUCCCAGCAGCACCGGGCUUCGAGGCGGUGUGUAGCACUGAAGGGAAGGACAGGGAGGUGCGACCUUUGCCAGGCGUGCUGGGAAUUAUAGUCUCUUAACAGUUUCCAGUCAGUUGGUCUCAGGGCUACCUGACUACAAUCCCAGCAUACGUUGGGCUUGGAGGCGGUGCGCAGCCCUAGAGGAAGGAUUGGGACGGCGGGUACCUCGCAAGGCAUCCUGGGGGUCAUAGUCCUUUAAGUAUUUCCAGCCCAUUGGUCGCGAGGCUAACGGACUACAAUCUCAGCAUGCGCUGGGUUUGGGGGCGGUGUGUAGUAUGGAAGCGAAGGAUAGGGAGGCGCGUCCCUAGCUAGGAGUGCUGGGAGUUAUGGUGUCUUAACGAUUUCCAGCCCAUUGGUCGCCGACCUGCUAACUACAAAACCAGCAUGCGCUGUCUGUCCUCCCCCGUGGUGCGCAGCCCUGGAGGGAGGGACAGGGCAGUGUGGACCUGGUCCUUUCCUAAGCGAUGCCACAUGCUGAUUCUGUGCCAACCCCUCGCCAAGGGAGACCGCAGAAGGACUUGAGGGGCAGGUCUAGGCUGGGCGAUGAGGACGGUGUGACCCUGCGAAGUGCACCUCCGUUGCUCAAAUCGGAGGUGUCUGGUCCUCACUGCACAGCCCACUGCACAUCUCGGUGUCCUCUCACAUACACACCCGCGGAGGGUUUCCAGAGCAUCGCACCUCUUCCAGCCCAGGAAGCCGCCUGCUCUGCUAAACUCCAUGGGAACUGAGACAUCCACCUGCUGCGUGGCCCACCCGUGAGCAACUCCAUAGCUUUCAGGGGGUGAUGCGGGCUGUGGCUCCUUCGUGAAAAUGUCACCGUCUGCAGCGCCUUUCUUGUGAUAUAGAACUUGACGCGUGAGAGAGGGUAUUUAUUGGGUUACCCAGGAUCUGCUAACAGCAGAGGAGAAAACCACAAUUCCCAGGCAUAAGAAUCUACCUAAAGAUGAUGGUUUAGAUAUUUUACAGUUGAAAUCACCAGCCUUAUCUCAACUGAGUCCUGACUGACGAGUGUCUCAAAAACGCAGUUGGUGACCUGAUCCCUCAGGAACAGGUGGUGCUCCAGCUUUGUGGGGAUGACUUUCAAGGUGCAGAGCACUUGAGCAGUAUUUGAAGUCAUUCAUGUUUUACAUCUCUGCUUUGGAUGGAAAGUUGAUCACCCACAGCCGUUGGGGAUGUACCUUAAUAUACUGGGGCUUAUCAGUUAAAUUUUUCUGUCUAGACAAUGAAAACCCAGAAAUUCCACUUGCAGGUUCCUGCGAAUGAAGUUGCAAAUAUUGAUGAAGAUAAUACUACUGCCUUGCUGUCAAACAGUAACAGUCACUUUUUUUUGUAUCUCCAAUUAUAAAUGCAAUACAUACUGUAAAAAGAAAAGAACACAUCAUAAAUAUCUUUAUAAAGUAAAAUUCUUGGCUGGUGGCCGGGAGAAGUGACUCAUGCAUGUAAUCUCAGCACUUUGUGAGGCCGAGGUGUGUGGAUCAUGAGGUCAGGAAUUUCAGACCAGCCUAGCUGACAUGGUGGAACCCCGUCUCUACUAAAAAAUACAAAAAUUAGCUGGUCUUGGUGGCGGGUGCCUGUAAUCCCAGCUACCCACGAGGUUGAAGCAGGAGAAUCACUUGAACCCAGGAGGUGAAUGGUGCAGUGAGCCAAGAUCGUGCCACUGCACUCUAGCCUGGGCAAGAGAGUGAGACUCCAUCUCAAAAACAAAACAAAACAAAAAGUUGGUUGGCCUAGUGGCUCAAUCCCAGCACUUUGGGAGCCCAAGGCAGGUGAAUUGCUUGAGCCCAGAAGCUCAAGACCAGUGUGGGCAACAUGGUAAAACCCUCUCUCUACAAAAAUACAAAAAUUAACCAGUUAUGGUGAUGUACAUCUGUAUUCCCAGCUACUAGGGAGGCUGAGGUGGGAGGAUUGUUUGAGCCUAGGAGGCCAAAUUUGCAGUGAGCUGUAAUCACACCACUGCGCUUCCAUGUGGACAACAAAGUGAGACCCUGACUCAAAAAAUAAAGACAUAAUAAACUGAAAGUCCCCUUUAUUCCCUUCUCUUCAAACUCACUUUUUUUUAUUUGAAAAAACUGUUAAGAGGUUGUUUUUUAUUCUUCUGGCUAAGUUGUAUAAAUUUCUUUCUUUCUUUUUUUUUUUUGAGAAAGCGUCUCGCUGUGUUGCCCAGGCUGGAGUGGAGUGGCACAAUCUCGGCUCACUGCAAGCUCUGCCUCCUGGUUUCACGCCAUUCUCCUGCCUCAGCCUCUCGAGUAGCUGGGACUAGAGGUGUCCACCACCACGCCCGGCUAAUUUUUUGUAUUUUUAGUAGAGACAGGGUUUCACCGUGUUAGCCAGGAUGGUCUUGGUCUCAAUAUCCGCCCCCCUGAUCUGCCCACUUCGUCUUCCCAGAGUGCUGGGAUUACAGGCGUGAGGCACCGCGCCCUGCCUGUUCUAUAAAUUUCUAAGUGAUACACAUAAAGUUUAUUUUAAAAUUUACAUCACACUACAUUUUCUUAAAUCUACUGUUUCUCCAGGUGUAUUCUAUCUAUCUAUCUAUCUAUCUAUCUAUCUAUCUAUCUAUCAUCUAUCUAUCUAUCUAUGACAAGGCCUUGCUCUGUCACCCAGACUGGAGUUCAGUAGCUCAAUUAUGGCUCACUGCAGACUCAAACUCUCAGGCUCAAAUGAUUUUCUAACUUCAGCUUCUGAAGUAGCUGAGAGUACAGGUGCAUGCCACUACUCCUGGCUAAUUGUUAGUUUUUUUUUUUUUUUUCUUUAAACAGGGUCUCACUCUGUCACCUGGGCUGGAAUGCAAUGCACAAUCACAGCUCACUCUAGCCUUGACGACUCAGGCUCAGGCAAUUCUCCUGCCUCAGCCUCCUGAGCAGCUGGGACCACAAAUGUGUAUUAGCACACUUGGAUGUUUAUUAUUAUUUGCAGAGACAGGGUCUCCCUAUGCUGCCCAGGCAUGUUGUGAACUCUUGUGCUUAAGCAGUCUGCUACCUCGGCCUCCCAAAGUGCUGGAAUUACAGGUGUGAGCCACCACAACUUACUCAGCCUUUUUACUUUGUGUAAGAAUAGCAUCAGUGUAUUAAAAAUAUAACGGAAAUUAUUUAUGGUGUCUUUUCAAUUCUUAUCCAUUAAAAUUCUCUUGUUAGAGCCUUUUA
This is a long non-coding RNA of Pan troglodytes (chimpanzee), 3431 nucleotides long. RefSeq lists it as uncharacterized. NCBI's taxonomy places the organism in Eukaryota, Metazoa, Chordata, Mammalia, Primates, Hominidae. The record is from RefSeq and is a predicted model, not a curated record. The transcript is spliced from 2 exons.